This 461-nucleotide ribosomal RNA is filed under the name uncultured bacterium. Its description in RNAcentral is "partial 16S ribosomal RNA". It matches the Rfam family "Bacterial small subunit ribosomal RNA", at positions 28 to 506 of the family's 1533-position model. The record is from RNAcentral.
GACGAACGCUGGCGGCGUGCUUAACACAUGCAAGUCGAGCGGAAAGGCCCUUCGGGGUACUCGAGCGGCGAACGGGUGAGUAACACGUGAGUAACCUGCCCCAGACUUUGGGAUAACCCUCGGAAACGGGGGCUAAUACCGGAUACGACACAGCUUCGCAUGGGGUCUGUGUGGAAAGUUUUUCGGUUUGGGAUGGGCUCGCGGCCUAUCAGCUUGUUGGUGGGGUGAUGGCCUACCAAGGCGACGACGGGUAGCCGGCCUGAGAGGGCGACCGGCCACACUGGGACUGAGACACGGCCCAGACUCCUACGGGAGGCAACAGUGGGGAAUAUUGCACAAUGGGCGGAAGCCUGAUGCAGCGACGCCGCGUGAGGGAUGACGGCCUUCGGGUUGUAAACCUCUUUCAGCAGGGACGAAGCGUAAGUGACGGUACCUGCAGAAGAAGCGCCGGCCAACUACGU